Long non-coding RNA from Clupea harengus (Atlantic herring), 2070 nucleotides. The record is from Ensembl. Lineage: Eukaryota; Metazoa; Chordata; Actinopteri; Clupeiformes; Clupeidae.
AUGUGUAAAAGCUGUUGUUUGAAAGACCAAGAAAAUGCUUCUGCUUGGACUUUGUUGGUGCUAUGAGUUUAAACUAUUCAUACCUCUGCCCAGCCACCUCAGAAUAAUCCCCACUGGCGGCCGGUUCUGGCCUGGGUCUGGACCGGUUCUGCCGAGUUUCCGGCCCUGUUUUGCUCCAGACUCGGUCUCUAUCGGGGAUCUGUUUUUUUUUUUUUUUUGGGACAAUCCCUACCUCGGGAUUCUGGUGACCAGCACACACACACACAGACACACAGACACACACACACAGACACACACACACACACACAUACAAGGGGUGAGGCCAUUUGGAAGUGAAGAUGGAGAGAAUGACCCUACUGCUUGGACACACCUGGCCCUUCUUCCUUCCGUUUCCACCUGAUGUUUGUCCUUGUUUGUUCGUUCAUUCGUUUCGUCUGUUUUUAGACAAAAAAAAAUCUCCAGCUGCAGAUCAUGUUAACGUUUGUUUAAAAAAAAGAAAAAAAAAUAGAGGUCAAAGGUGAAAUCUGCUCUACAUCAGGAAGAGAAAAGGUCCCUUUUGUGUCCCUUUUGUGAACACUUUUGCUCAAGCUUCACACUGCUCCACCACGAACAGCUUCUGUGUCUGUGUGUGUGUGAGUGUGUGUGUUUGUGUAUGUAUGUGUGUUCGUUCCUCCCCUGUAACGUGAUGCCUUUCGUAAGCAAUAGACUUGCUCCAGUGUUUUGUCAUAUCUAGGACUUCACACACAAACUGCACAGACAAUCAGAAAUGAUGUUGAGAGAGCACGAGAGCGACCGAGCAAGCGAGAGAGAAAGAGAGAGAAAGAGGGAGAGCACAAUUUUGAUACCUGAUUGAAUGGAUGUGGGUAUGAGCGGUCUACUUUCACAGAGGAAUGUAAUAGUCAUGGGAUGUGAAUGGCUGAAUCUUAAACCUAACUCAGUUUGAAGUGAAAAGACAAAACAAAAUUAAAAAAAAAGAUAUUUUACAGUAUAAAGGAUAAAGGUUGUAUAUUUUAAGAUUGCAGAUAUUUUUUACAGAAGUUAUAUGCAUACUAUGAGUCAUUUUACCGUUUUUGCAUACAUAGUUCUUUUUCUCAAAUUUCUACAAAGACAGCAUCCUGUUGCUUCUCAAAACAAGAAUAAGCCCAUAACCAGGUCCACAACAACAAGAACCCCAUAACCAGGUCCAGAACCCCAUAACCAGGUCCACAACAACAACCCCAUAACCAGGUCCACAACAAGAAUAAGCCCAUAACCAGGUCCACAACUAGAAUAAGCCCAUAGCCAGGUCCAGAACAAGAAUAAGCCCAUAGCCAGGUCCACAACAAGAAUAAGCCCAUAACCAGGUCCACAACAAGAAUAAGCCCAUAGCCAGGUCCAGAACAAGAAUAAGCCCAUAACCAGGUCCACAACAACAAUAAGCCCAUAACCAGGUCCAGAACAAGAAUAAGCCCAUAGCCAGGUCCAGAACAAGAAUAAGCCCAUAACCAGGUCCACAACUAGAAUAAGCCCAUAGCCAGGUCCACAACUAGAAUAAGCCCAUAGCCAGGUCCAGAACCCCAUAACCAGGUCCAGAAGCACCCAAAGGAGAAAUACACUUACAGUGGGGAAAAUAAGUAUUUGAACCCCUGCCGAUUUCGCAAGUUUGGCCACUUGCAAAGAAAUGUGUGAUCUAUAAUUGUAAUGGUAGGUCUAUUUUAACAGUGAGAGACAGAAUAUCCACAAAAAACAUCCAGAAAACUGCAUUUUAUAACAGGUAUGAAUUGAUUUGCAUUUGUCGCGGAAAAUAAGUAUUGAAUACUUAAUAAAUACUUAUUUUCCCCACUGUACAUGGAGUAAUAUAACUAAAUGGAACUCCUUUUCCAUUUAACGGCAGGUUCAGAAAGACAAGUGUCACUUUAAGCAAUCAGAUAACACCUGUCUCACCCGUCAGAUAAACAGACAGAUAAACCGAUAACACCUGUCUCACCUGUCUGAGGGGAUAGUUGUGACCCCACAAGGCAAGAGCUCUUACAAUCCAGGAAAAAAGAUGAAUGAACAGCAGCCAGUGUGUCUGAUAAGUGUGUAUCAAAA